UUUCGGUCUUCCUCUUUAAGCGUCCAACUUUUUCUAUUCUCAAAGUAUCCCCGUUCACCCGUACUACCGGCACGAAGCUCUCCGAAGGUCCCCGUCACGCACCUCCUCUCCUCGCUGGACUCGGCUCUCUCUCUCUCCCUUCCUUCCUUUGUGGUCCUUGGAGGGAGGAGGAAGGAGAGGGAAGGCGGAGGAGGAGGAGUAGGAGGGGGCGCGUAGGAGCCCGGGGAGGCCGGCCGCUGCGCCCUGCGCCGUACCGGUGGCCGCCGCUGUUGCCCACGCCGGCGCCCCUCGGCCGCCGCGGGCCGCCGCCGCUGGACAUGCGGCACGACCCCGAGUCGUUCCUCACGAGGCUGCGGCUGGAGUUCGAGCGGAUGGCCUUCGAGCGGUACUCUACCGUAGGCCUGUCUACGAGCAGGAGGCCGCCGUGGUUCGUGUACCUCCUCCGGUUCCUCUUCAAGGUCCUCUAGGUCCCGCGGAUAAGGCAGGAGAGGCUACGGUUGUUCGCCAAGGAGAUGCUGCACCCCCACAUGGUCCUUCUUCUUCUGUCGCUGCUGUCAUACGUCCCCUACCCCCUGAAGGAACCACUCUACCGGGUAUACUACUCGGUCCGCGCCGGUCGCUCCGUCCUCUCGAAACUCCUCGACGUCGUCGACAAACACCUGUACAAGGUCAGACUAUAACUGAGUCCUAAAACGUUACCUGGACGGUUCCCGGUAGUACUGGGCAAGGUUUGUAAGAGCUGGAGGGGAAGGAGCAGCGGUAGAGGUGGUGGAGGCGAUCGAUGUCUCCGUCUUCGUCGGAGUACAUUGCCGUAAUUGUUCGCACCGAGUAGUCGUUACCCGAGACCCUUCGGAGGUUCUCGACCCCUUCGCCCACGCCCAAUGUCGGUCGGACUCAAAACAAAACCCUGCUCGCUGCGGUUCGUUCGCGGCUUCCGCGCUCCGCCCUUGUGGUCGUCCUCUGCCUUGCCCGUUUUCGUCUUCGACAGCAGCUUCGUGCUGCAGAGCAGACUCCUACUCUACGACUCGGGCGUCGUCGGGUCUCAUCAUACUGGGAGCUAUGUUGGUGGACCGGGGAACAGUGGAAUACAGGACUGGUACAGGAACCAGUGGGUCAUAGUCACGUCGGUCGUUCAUCUCGCGGUCGCGGCCAUCGACAAUGUUCCUCCCCCCCCAACGAAGCAGCUUCCGAUACAUCCGGGGGGAAUCUUCCAAACAUUCUCUUGGAUCGCACAUUCUGAGCAGCUACAAACGGCGCAAGAAGAAAGAGCCAAACACGGCGAUACAACAACAACAACAACAACAUUCGUAACCUAAGAGCUAACUAAGUCACAAGUAACAACAAUACUACCUUCUUCAUCCGAGGAACAACACCAUUCCAGUCCCCAUAAACUGGUUUGAUACUUACCGUACCGUGAGUUUCUCGUUUACAGAAUCGUA
Molecule: ribosomal RNA, 1439 nt
Filed under: Triticum aestivum (bread wheat)
Lineage: Eukaryota; Viridiplantae; Streptophyta; Magnoliopsida; Poales; Poaceae
Description: partial small subunit ribosomal RNA
Source: RNAcentral